GUCUUCCAUGAAGAAAACAUGUAUUUAGGAACACCAUUUAAGCACACAAAAAAAUACAUUUCAUUUAAUUGUUUAAUUAUUUUUUCUUCCUACUUUUUUCUUUAAAUUGGUGCUUGUGUGUCCAAAUAGAGUUUUUAAAUAUUUGUGACCAAUGAAGUAUUUUUCGUGUUAGUAUGCCGCUCAUUUGUACUAUGCAUGGGUUGAAUUUUUAUUAUUAUUUAUGUCUUGUGUGUCUAUGUUUAAACCCAAAUCAUCAUUUAAAUCUUUGAAUGUAUCAAACGAUGUCAUUAUAGUUCUUCAAUAUAACAAAAUUACUCAUAAAUAUAUCUCUAAAUAUGGUUUUCGUCAAUGAAUUUGGUUGUCUUGGUCUUUUGAUCUCUUCCCGUGAACUCCAGAUUCCAAUUUUAAUAGCAACAACAAACCCAUACUCAGACUUCCGCAACAAUAUUGGUGUCGUAAAAUUUUAUUUUCUUUUACAGAAGAAACGUUAGAUAUAGGAGUCAAAUAAUUUUUGGUCUCUAUAAAAAUAUCAAUUCAUGAAAUUAUUCCCUAUAAAUAUAAACACAAUGCUUUCAUCCUCGUUAAAUUUUCAUUUUUAGUUUUAGUCCUGACAUGUGGUCAACUAUUAGUUGACUUACAAAAUUCCACAUGUAUUAAAUCCUACAUGUAUUGCCACAUCAAUUCUAAACUAAACUAUUACUUUUGCAUCUUAAGUUGCCCUUGGUGUUAGGUUGUUUUGAUGAUUGUUGUUUACGUUUUCAUAGUAAUUAAAAAAUAUGUUAAAGCAUCAUAGUCAUUGAUGAUCUUAAUUUCCUACAAUGUGUCUUGUGUUAAAUUGUGUUUAAGGUGGUUCAUAUGUGUAAAGUUUUGUUAAAACUUCUUUCCAAGCUUCGUGAAUAAGUCGUUUUGGGUAAAAAAAAAAA
RNAcentral lists this long non-coding RNA (923 nucleotides) under Medicago truncatula (barrel medic). RNAcentral's name for it is "lncRNA gene21010". Lineage: Eukaryota; Viridiplantae; Streptophyta; Magnoliopsida; Fabales; Fabaceae. The record is from RNAcentral.